Molecule: small RNA, 87 nt
Filed under: Kaistella jeonii
Lineage: Bacteria; Pseudomonadati; Bacteroidota; Flavobacteriia; Flavobacteriales; Weeksellaceae
Description: Chryseobacterium jeonii Flavo-1 RNA
Rfam family: Flavo-1 RNA
Source: RNAcentral
AUCGCGCCCCGGAUCGCAAUGGAAAUCCUUUUUUUGAAAGGGAAAAGCGAGGCAAAAAAAAGAUUGUAGUGUAGAGCCGGAAAUGUG